Molecule: ribosomal RNA, 1005 nt
Filed under: Triticum aestivum (bread wheat)
Lineage: Eukaryota; Viridiplantae; Streptophyta; Magnoliopsida; Poales; Poaceae
Description: partial small subunit ribosomal RNA
Source: RNAcentral
AUGGCGUCGACCGCCUCCUUCCUUCCGCUGCUCGCGCUCCUGCUCGUGGCGACGGCGCAUUGCUCGCCGCUGCCCCAGCGGUGCCCGCAGGCCGACCGGCAGGCGCUGUUCCGGGUGAAGCAGGCGCUGGGCAGCCCGUUGACGCUGAAGACGUGGUCGCCGGCGUCGGCGGACUGCUGCGCGUGGGACCACCUCACGUGCAACGAGGCCGGGCGCGUGAACAACGUCUUCAUCGACGGCGCCGACGACGUGCGCGGCCAGAUCCCGUCCGCGCUGGCGGGGCUGACGGCGCUCAUGUCGCUCUCGCUCUUCCGCCUCCCGGGCCUCCAGGGCUCCAUCCCGGCCUGCCUCACCUCCCUCUCCAAGCUCGAGUUCCUCACCGUCUCCCACACCAACGUGUCCGGCUCCAUCCCGGAGUCCCUGGCGCGCCUCCACAGCCUCGACUCCGUGGACCUCUCCAACAACAAGCUCACGGGGUCCAUCCCCAACUCCUUCGCCGACAUGCCCAACCUCCGGUCGCUGGACCUCCGCCGGAACCAGCUCACCGGGCGCAUCCCGGCCAGCCUCGUGCAGGGGCAGUUCCGGUCGCUGGUGCUGUCCUACAACCAGCUGACGGGCCCGAUCCCGCGCGACGACGCGCAGGACGAGAUCAACACGGUGGAUCUGUCGCACAACCAGCUGAGCGGCGACGCUUCCUUCCUCUUCUCCGAGGGGCGGCCCAUCGGCAAGGUGGACCUGUCCUACAACAACCUCGAGUUCGACCUGAGCAAGCUCAAGUUCCCCAAGGAGCUGACGUACCUGGACCUGAGCCACAACCGCAUCAGUGGCACCGUGCCCAGGUCGCUGGAGGCGCUGUCCACGCUGCAGACGCUGGACCUCAGCUACAACAACCUCUGCGGGCCGCUCCCCAAGCUGCACGGCGUCAUGCGGCACGGCUGCAAGCCCUACGAGCACAACCUGUGCCACCGCGGGGCGCCGCUCGAGAGCAGCUGCCACCAGCUCUGA